Molecule: ribosomal RNA, 455 nt
Filed under: Paenibacillus humicus
Lineage: Bacteria; Bacillati; Bacillota; Bacilli; Caryophanales; Paenibacillaceae
Description: bacterial SSU rRNA
Rfam family: Bacterial small subunit ribosomal RNA
Source: RNAcentral
GCGGAUCUUGUCCUUCGGGACAAGGUUAGCGGCGGACGGGUGAGUAACACGUAGGCAACCUGCCCUCAAGACUGGGAUAACCUCCGGAAACGGAUGCUAAUACCGGAUAUGCGGUUUCUCCUCCUGGAGAGNCCGGGAAAGACGGAGCAAUCUGUCACUUGGGGAUGGGCCUGCGGCGCAUUAGCUAGUUGGUGAGGUAACGGCUCACCAAGGCGACGAUGCGUAGCCGACCUGAGAGGGUGAUCGGCCACACUGGGACUGAGACACGGCCCAGACUCCUACGGGAGGCAGCAGUAGGGAAUCUUCCGCAAUGGACGCAAGUCUGACGGAGCAACGCCGCGUGAGUGAGGAAGGCCUUCGGGUCGUAAAGCUCUGUUGCCAGGGAAGAACGGGUGGAAGAGUAACUGCUUCCGCCAUGACGGUACCUGAGAAGAAAGCCCCGGCUAACUACGUGC